This 253-nucleotide ribosomal RNA is filed under the name uncultured bacterium. RNAcentral describes it as "partial 16S ribosomal RNA". It matches the Rfam family "Bacterial small subunit ribosomal RNA", at positions 524 to 776 of the family's 1533-position model. The record is from RNAcentral.
GACGUAGGGCGCGAGCGUUGUCCGGAUUUAUUGGGCGUAAAGAGCGUGUAGGCGGCCCGACAGGUCCGUUGUGAAAACUCGAGGCUCAACCUCGAGACGUCGAUGGAAACCGUCGGGCUAGAGUCCGGAAGAGGAGAGUGGAAUUCCUGGUGUAGCGGUGAAAUGCGCAGAUAUCAGGAGGAACACCCGUGGCGAAAGCGGCUCUCUGGGACGGUACUGACGCUGAGACGCGAAAGCGUGGGGAGCGAACAGG